Molecule: microRNA precursor, 55 nt
Filed under: Callithrix jacchus (white-tufted-ear marmoset)
Lineage: Eukaryota; Metazoa; Chordata; Mammalia; Primates; Cebidae
Description: microRNA cja-mir-3135 precursor
Source: miRBase by way of RNAcentral
CCAAGGCUGGACUGCAGUGGCGCGAGCUCGGCUCACUGCACCCUCCGCCUCCUGG